Non-coding RNA from Schizosaccharomyces pombe (fission yeast), 1036 nucleotides. The record is from the annotation of a GenBank genome assembly. Lineage: Eukaryota; Fungi; Ascomycota; Schizosaccharomycetes; Schizosaccharomycetales; Schizosaccharomycetaceae.
UUUAAAUGAAUAUCUAUACGAAAUUGCUUAGUUACAUCAUUUUCUAUAUUAAAAACAUAAACUAGUAAAAAGCACUGCGAAAAAUCAUAAUAAAGAAUACUAAGAAUCAAGCUUUCGAUAUAAUGGGACGUUAUCUGAGCCCAAACUCACAACCGUUCCAUGGUCAUGCAAUAAUAAUUUUAAAUUUGGUGGCUUCUGGUUUUCGUAAGUAUUCAUUGCAGUCAACCAAAGACGUUGCAUAUCAUAAAAUAAGGUCUCUGGAGGAAGGUUUACACACCCUCCAUUGUAGCUGUCAAUCACAACGUCAAUAGCUUGUUUUGGUAAGUAGUGAUGCUUUUCGUUAACAUACAGAGCCUUAAUAAUAUCUAUAAAGGUUUCUCUAAUACGAGUAGUGUUAUGAUGGCGUACAACUGCACUUUUAUGAACAGAUUUUUUUCCAGACCUUAUAGCCAGUCGGAUUGGCGUUUGAGAAUAAUCUAACUUAGGAAAGCGGUAUGACCUGUUGUUUAAAAAUUCAUGAAAAGGAAUUAACCAAGCUCUUGGUAUACAGUACAAAGUCAUAUAUUUAGUUCUGGCCAAUUUUUGAGUAGCCCUGAUAAUUUGCAUUUCUUCUUGGCUUAUUUUUUCCUUGGACAAAUAUCCCAAACUAAUAGAGUGAGAAGAUUUGGGUCUGAGAUGUGGUUGUAUAUAUUGAACAAGAUACUCAAAGUUUCUUUUCAAAUUAGAGGUCAUUCUUUUAGCGUUUAACAAUUUCGUACUAUUAAAUUUGCACUCUCUUUUGGAUGAUCAUUUUUAAUCCUGUGUGAAUUUAUUCAAUCUAUUAUACAAACCAAAAAAUUUGGUUGUUAUCAAUAUGGGCGGUGUGAGUAAAAGAACACUAUUUCAAUGUUCUCUGGGCGUUUGCAAAGAAAUGCAGUAAGCGUUGGAUAUUUGAAGGAACUGAUAUAUUUUGAAACAGUAGUUGGUCACUUCACACUACACAAUUGUACAUACUAGUAAAUUCUAGGACCUCAAUGGUAAUUGGGUGGGUUUAAUG